This 497-nucleotide ribosomal RNA is filed under the name uncultured bacterium. RNAcentral describes it as "partial 16S ribosomal RNA". It matches the Rfam family "Bacterial small subunit ribosomal RNA", at positions 28 to 507 of the family's 1533-position model. The record is from RNAcentral.
GAUGAACGCUGGCGGCGUGCCUAAUACAUGCAAGUCGAGCGAACAGAUGAGGAGCUUGCUCCUCUGACGUUAGCGGCGGACGGGUGAGUAACACGUGGAUAACCUACCUAUAAGACUGGGAUAACUUCGGGAAACCGGAGCUAAUACCGGAUAAUAUAUUGAACCGCAUGGUUCAAUAGUAAAAGACGGUUUUGCUGUCACUUAUAGAUGGAUCCGCGCCGCAUUAGCUAGUUGGUAAGGUAACGGCUUACCAAGGCAACGAUGCGUAGCCGACCUGAGAGGGUGAUCGGCCACACUGGAACUGAGACACGGGCCAGACUCCUACGGGAGGCAGAAGUAGGGAAUCUUCCGCAAUGGGCGAAAGCCUGACGGAGCAACGCCGCGUGAGUGAUGAAGGUCUUCGGAUCGUAAAACUCUGUUAUUAGGGAAGAACAAAUGUGUAAGUAACUAUGCACGUCUUGACGGUACCUAAUCAGAAAGCCACGGCUAACUACGUG